RNAcentral lists this ribosomal RNA (164 nucleotides) under Globularia salicina. RNAcentral describes it as "5.8S ribosomal RNA". It matches the Rfam family "5.8S ribosomal RNA". Rfam says of the family: 5.8S ribosomal RNA (5.8S rRNA) is a component of the large subunit of the eukaryotic ribosome. It is transcribed by RNA polymerase I as part of the 45S precursor that also contains 18S and 28S rRNA. The record is from RNAcentral. Lineage: Eukaryota; Viridiplantae; Streptophyta; Magnoliopsida; Lamiales; Plantaginaceae.
UCAUAACGACUUUCGGCAACGGAUAUCUCGGCUCUCGCAUCGAUGAAGAACGUAGCGAAAUGCGAUACUUGGUGUGAAUUGCAGGAUCCCGUGAAUCAUCGAGUCUUUGAACGCAAGUUGCGCCNNAAGCCANUAGGCUAAGGGCACGCCUGCCUGGGCGUCAC